GUCUUGAAACACGGACCAAGGAGUCUAACAUGUAUGCGAGUAUAAGGGUGGCAAACCCGUAUGCGCAAUGAAAGUGAUUUUCGGUGAUUGAGAAUGGCCUGAUGACCAGACAAGCAAUAUUAUGUCCCUCGUACGGCCAUUGCCCAAGUUCCGUGGUAGAUCCCACGAACAUGGAGUUGGAGCAUACAUGCUAGGACCCGAAAGAUGGUGAACUAUGCCUGGACAAAGUGAAGCCAAAGGAAACUCUGGUGGAGGCUUGUAGCGAUUCUGACGUGCAAAUCGAUCGUCUGAUCUGGGUAUAGGGGCGAAAGACUAAUCGAACCAU
RNAcentral lists this ribosomal RNA (325 nucleotides) under Cantharellus versicolor. RNAcentral's name for it is "partial large subunit ribosomal RNA". It matches the Rfam family "Eukaryotic large subunit ribosomal RNA", at positions 651 to 943 of the family's 3401-position model. Lineage: Eukaryota; Fungi; Basidiomycota; Agaricomycetes; Cantharellales; Hydnaceae. The record is from RNAcentral.